GGAGGGGAUUGAGGAAUUGCUCUCUGCCAAUUGGUGGGGAGAGGAAAGUCCGGACUCCGUAGAACAGGGUGAUGGCUAACGGCCACCGUCUAAACGCAGAUAACUGCAGAUAAAAGGCGUAGAUGUCCGCAGAUGAAAAUCAGCGGUCAUCAGCGUUAAAUUAUCAGCGGUAAUCCGUGUCAAAAGACAGGGAAAGUGCCACAGAAAAGAUACGGCCUAUUUUAACCCUAAAGGUUAAAAGGCAAAGGUGAAAAGGUGCGGUAAGAGCGCACCGCUUUGAUAGUGAUAUCAGAGGCAGGGCAAACCCCACCCGGAGCAAGGUCCAAAAUAAAAGAUUCGUUCCGGUUAAAUGGAACGGAACGGGAUUGUUCGUCCCGUCACUAUUUUUAAGGUUGACCGCUUGACCUCGCAAGUAAUUUCGGGGCUAGAGAAAUAAUUCCAUUAUCUUGAUAAAACGGGAUAAACAGAAUCCGGCUUAUCAAUCCCCUUCUGCA
This 494-nucleotide RNase P RNA is filed under the name Elusimicrobia bacterium CG06_land_8_20_14_3_00_38_11. RNAcentral's name for it is "RNase P RNA component class A". It matches the Rfam family "Bacterial RNase P class A". From Rfam's summary of the family: Ribonuclease P (RNase P) is a ubiquitous endoribonuclease, found in archaea, bacteria and eukarya as well as chloroplasts and mitochondria. The record is from RNAcentral. Lineage: Bacteria; Pseudomonadati; Elusimicrobiota.